Non-coding RNA from Arsenicicoccus sp. oral taxon 190, 74 nucleotides. NCBI's taxonomy places the organism in Bacteria, Bacillati, Actinomycetota, Actinomycetes, Micrococcales, Intrasporangiaceae. The record is from Rfam.
AGUGCAAGGGCUCUUCCUCCCCAGAGCCUAGGCACACGGCGACCCCCGUCACCCCCCGACGGGGGUCGCCUCAU